GACGAACGCUGGCGGCGUGCUUAACACAUGCAAGUCGAACGGAAAGGCCCUGCUUUUGUGGGGUGCUCGAGUGGCGAACGGGUGAGUAACACGUGAGUAACCUGCCCUUGACUUUGGGAUAACUUCAGGAAACUGGGGCUAAUACCGGAUAGGAGCUCCUGCUGCAUGGUGGGGGUUGGAAAGUUUCGGCGGUUGGGGAUGGACUCGCGGCUUAUCAGCUUGUUGGUGGGGUAGUGGCUUACCAAGGCUUUGACGGGUAGCCGGCCUGAGAGGGUGACCGGCGACAUUGGGACUGCGAUACGGCCCAGACUCCUACGGGAGGCAGCAGUGGGGAAUAUUGCACAAUGGGCGGAAGCCGGAUGCAGCAACGCCGCGUGCGGGAUGACGGCCUUCGGGUUGUAAACCGCUUUCGCCUGUGACGAAGCGUGAGUGACGGUAAUGGGUAAAGAAGCACCGGCUAACUACGUG
RNAcentral lists this ribosomal RNA (468 nucleotides) under uncultured bacterium. RNAcentral describes it as "partial 16S ribosomal RNA". It matches the Rfam family "Bacterial small subunit ribosomal RNA", at positions 28 to 507 of the family's 1533-position model. The record is from RNAcentral.